UAAAGAGGUUUGGGGCAGCGUAGGGCCAGU
This 30-nucleotide non-coding RNA is filed under the name Mus musculus (house mouse). Lineage: Eukaryota; Metazoa; Chordata; Mammalia; Rodentia; Muridae. The record is from RNAcentral.